AUUGAACGCUGGCGGAAUGCUUUACACAUGCAAGUCGAACGGCAGCACGGGGCAACCUGGUGGCGAGUGGCGAACGGGUGAGUAAUACAUCGGAACGUGCCCAAUCUGGGGGGAUAACGUAGCGAAAGUUACGCUAAUACCGCAUACGAUCUACGGAUGAAAGCGGGGGAUCGCAAGACCUCGCGCGAUUGGAGCGGCCGAUGUCAGAUUAGGUAGUUGGUGGGGUAAAGGCUCACCAAGCCGACGAUCUGUAGCUGGUCUGAGAGGACGACCAGCCACACUGGGACUGAGACACGGCCCAUACUCCUACGGGAGGCAGCAGUGGGGAAUUUUACGCAAUGGGCGAAAGCCUGACGUAGCGACACCGCGUGAGCGAAGAAGCCCCUUGGGGUGUAAAGCUCUGUCAGCUGGAACGAAAAAAUGACGGUACCAGCAGAGGAAGCA
Molecule: ribosomal RNA, 444 nt
Filed under: uncultured bacterium
Lineage: Bacteria
Description: bacterial SSU rRNA
Rfam family: Bacterial small subunit ribosomal RNA
Source: RNAcentral